GAUCAUGGCUCAGGAUGAACGCUGGCGGCGUGCCUAAUACAUGCAAGUAGAACGCUGAAGCUUGGUGCUUGCACCGAGCGGAUGAGUUGCGAACGGGUGAGUAACGCGUAGGUAACCUGCCUCUUAGCGGGGGAUAACUAUUGGAAACGAUAGCUAAUACCGCAUAAAAGUCGACAUCGCAUGAUGUUGACUUGAAAGGUGCAAUUGCAUCACUAAGAGAUGGG
Molecule: ribosomal RNA, 224 nt
Filed under: uncultured bacterium
Lineage: Bacteria
Description: partial 16S ribosomal RNA
Rfam family: Bacterial small subunit ribosomal RNA
Source: RNAcentral